GUAGGUGGCAAGCGUUGUCCGGGAAUUAUUGGGCGUAAAGCGCGCGCAGGCGGUUCUUUAAGUCUGAUGUGAAAGCCCACGGGCUCAACCGUGGAGGGUCAUUGGAAACUGGAGAACUUGAGUACAGAAGAGGAAAGCGGAAUUCCACGUGUAGCGGUGAAAUGCGUAGAGAUGUGGAGGAACACCAGUGGCGAAGGCGGCUUUCCGGUCUGUAACUGACGCUGAGGCGCGAAAGCGUGGGGAGCAAACAGGAUUAGAUACCCUGGUAGUCCACGCCGUAAACGAUGAGUGCUAAGUGUUAGGGGGUUUCCGCCCCUUAGUGCUGCAGCUAACGCAUUAAGCACUCCGCCUGGGGAGUACGGCCGCAAAGGCUG
This 374-nucleotide ribosomal RNA is filed under the name uncultured organism. RNAcentral describes it as "partial 16S ribosomal RNA". It matches the Rfam family "Bacterial small subunit ribosomal RNA", at positions 527 to 896 of the family's 1533-position model. The record is from RNAcentral.